Molecule: ribosomal RNA, 324 nt
Filed under: uncultured Pseudomonadota bacterium
Lineage: Bacteria; Pseudomonadati; Pseudomonadota
Description: bacterial SSU rRNA
Rfam family: Bacterial small subunit ribosomal RNA
Source: RNAcentral
AGUGAACGCUGGCGGCAGGCCUAACACAUGCAAGUCGAGCGGCAGCGGGCUGUAGCAAUACAGUGCCGGCGAGCGGCGGACGGGUGAGGAAUACAUCGGAAUCUACCUUGUCGUGGGGGAUAACGUAGGGAAACUUACGCUAAUACCGCAUACGAACUACGGUUGAAAGCGGAGGACCGCAAGGCUUCGCGCGAUUGGAUGAGCCGAUGUCGGAUUAGCUAGUUGGCGGGUAAAGGCCCACCAAGGCGACGAUCCGUAGCUGGUCUGAGAGGAUGAUCAGCCACACUGGAACUGAGACACGGUCCAGACUCCUACGGGUGGCAG